This 465-nucleotide ribosomal RNA is filed under the name Vreelandella stevensii. RNAcentral describes it as "partial 16S ribosomal RNA". It matches the Rfam family "Bacterial small subunit ribosomal RNA", at positions 338 to 795 of the family's 1533-position model. Lineage: Bacteria; Pseudomonadati; Pseudomonadota; Gammaproteobacteria; Oceanospirillales; Halomonadaceae. The record is from RNAcentral.
CCUACGGGAGGCUGCAGUGGGGAAUAUUGGACAAUGGGGGCAACCCUGAUCCAGCCAUGCCGCGUGUGUGAAGAAGGCCCUCGGGUUGUAAAGCACUUUCAGUGAGGAAGAACGCCUGGUGGUUAAUACCCAUCAGGAAAGACAUCACUCACAGAAGAAGCACCGGCUAACUCCGUGCCAGCAGCCGCGGUAAUACGGAGGGUGCGAGCGUUAAUCGGAAUUACUGGGCGUAAAGCGCGCGUAGGUGGCUUGAUAAGCCGGUUGUGAAAGCCCCGGGCUCAACCUGGGAACGGCAUCCGGAACUGUCAAGCUAGAGUGCAGGAGAGGAAGGUAGAAUUCCCGGUGUAGCGGUGAAAUGCGUAGAGAGCGGGAGGAAUACCAGUGGCGAAGGCGGCCUUCUGGACUGACACUGACACUGAGGUGCGAAAGCGUGGGUAGCAAACAGGAUUAGAUACCCUGGUAGUC